Molecule: ribosomal RNA, 253 nt
Filed under: uncultured bacterium
Lineage: Bacteria
Description: partial 16S ribosomal RNA
Rfam family: Bacterial small subunit ribosomal RNA
Source: RNAcentral
UACGUAGGGUGCAAGCGUUGUCCGGAAUUAUUGGGCGUAAAGAGCUCGUAGGCGGUCUGUCGCGUCUGCUGUGAAAACUCGGGGCUUAACCCCGGGCCUGCAGUGGGUACGGGCAGACUAGAGUGCGGUAGGGGAGACUGGAAUUCCUGGUGUAGCGGUGAAAUGCGCAGAUAUCAGGAGGAACACCGGUGGCGAAGGCGGGUCUCUGGGCCGUAACUGACGCUGAGGAGCGAAAGCGUGGGGAGCGAACGGG